RNAcentral lists this microRNA (21 nucleotides) under Caenorhabditis elegans. RNAcentral describes it as "cel-miR-8202-5p". The record is from miRBase by way of RNAcentral. Lineage: Eukaryota; Metazoa; Nematoda; Chromadorea; Rhabditida; Rhabditidae.
UGAACAGAAAAAGUCGUGUGU